RNAcentral lists this transfer RNA (69 nucleotides) under Bactrocera moluccensis. RNAcentral describes it as "tRNA-Met". It matches the Rfam family "tRNA". From Rfam's summary of the family: Transfer RNA (tRNA) molecules are approximately 80 nucleotides in length. Their secondary structure includes four short double-helical elements and three loops (D, anti-codon, and T loops). Further hydrogen bonds mediate the characteristic L-shaped molecular structure. tRNAs have two regions of fundamental functional importance: the anti-codon, which is responsible for specific mRNA codon recognition, and the 3' end, to which the tRNAs corresponding amino acid is attached (by aminoacyl-tRNA synthetases). tRNAs cope with the degeneracy of the genetic code in two manners: having more than one tRNA (with a specific anti-codon) for a particular amino acid; and 'wobble' base-pairing, i.e. permitting non-standard base-pairing at the 3rd anti-codon position. Lineage: Eukaryota; Metazoa; Arthropoda; Insecta; Diptera; Tephritidae. The record is from RNAcentral.
AAAAAGAUAAGCUAAUUAAGCUACUGGGCCCAUACCCCAUUUAUAAAGGUUUUAAUCCUUUUCUUUUUA